This 1771-nucleotide unclassified non-coding RNA is filed under the name Melitaea cinxia (Glanville fritillary). RNAcentral describes it as "misc RNA ENSMCXG00005005205.1". The record is from RNAcentral. Lineage: Eukaryota; Metazoa; Arthropoda; Insecta; Lepidoptera; Nymphalidae.
AAACAUUAUUUUGUUUCUGAUCCCAUCAGUUUUUAAAGGUUCUUUCCCGAUAUUUUCCUCAUUGAAGUAUAAUAAACAGAAUGAUUCAUACUGUGUUAUCUUUAUAUAUUUCAUGUUUAAUGUUUAUAACCACGGAUAAGAGGUAUAUAAAGCAAGCCAGGGUAUCGCAAGUUGCAUUCAGUCUGAAAAUAUCAUUUACUCGUACAAUUGUUAUUCAUUUAAAAAAUUAAGAUGAAAGGAUUUUUAUUUAUUUUCGCUAUUGUAAUGGCGCUGUUGUCUUUAACUUCGACAGUAAUGUCUGAGGACUUAGAAGCCGGUCCUGUACUUCAAAGGUUGAAACGUGAAAAUAAAUGUGAUUAUUGGGAGUGCGAUCGCCUCUGUCGCAGGCUGGAAUUCCCCGGCGGAGCAUGUGUUGGGAAUAAGUGUGAUUGUGAUAAAUUUUAGUUAACAUCCUACAAUUUCAAUAAUAAAAUCGAUUCACGUUAAUGUUUAUCUUUAUUAUAUACAUAAAGCUCAACACAUUAUAUAUGUAUUAAAAGCUGUCUUAGAUAUAAAUAUGUAAUUUCGUUACGAUUCCAUUGAUUAAAUUUAAUUCAGAAUAGACUCGUUAGCAGUUUUUGCUCUCUCGCACAGAAAAUACCAUCGGGAUAUUUAAAAUGAUUUUUAAACCUUUAAAACAACGCAAAUACUCUCAAAUUAAAAAGAUUUUAGUAUAAUAAUUAAUCAUAAUAAAUAUCUCUUCAUUUGCAAUAUAAACAAAAAGAAAAGUAAAUAUUUAAUUAUCUCGUAUAUUUUAACCUCUCAUAAAACAUUCUAUAUUUGUACGUGAUUUUUUUUAAAUAUUAAGAGUUUGCAAGCUCUUCUGAACGACUAACGUUCAAAGACUUUAUAAUGUUUGUAAUAGUUAGUAAAAAAGCAAAGUUUUCAUAGUAAAAGUUAUGUACAACAGACCGCGCUCUUGAAGUUCGAAGCUUAAUAGAGCGAAAAUAUACUAAGAAAAUGUCACAGUUCUAAAAAUUAUAAAUCUUAUUAAAAGUAAAAUCAGAGUGAAAUGUGUUUGAUUACUAUAUUGGUAAAUUGUCAAAUAUAUUUACACAUAUAUAUAUAUAUAUAUACCUAUAUACUUUAUUAAAUCUUGAAACAUAUUAAUGGUACAUAUUAGGUACAUAUUAAUGGUAUUUUCUUUAUACAUACACACAGCAAACUAUAUACAUACAUUUACUUAUUGUAUCCUAGCCUCAAGAAAUCAUAAAUAUAAUUUUAACACACAGUUUCAUAAAAUAACACACCGAUUUAUGUAAAUGUUAUUAAAAAUGUCGAAAAGGACAAAAAAAAAUAUGUUCACCUUGACUGAAUUCUCAACAAAAUAACCGACGAGAUGAGGUGGAUGGAGUCUUUUUUACCCUUUUAGAAGGCACUUGCACCACCUGUGUUGCUUAAAUUAUGUAAAUAUUUUUAAUUCAGAGUCGCGGGCUUUCAUGUUUUAGCAAAACGAAAUUUCUGGGUCAAAUUGAAAGGGAGCCCUGAUAUAAGUAAAUAAUUCAGAUGUUUUGUUAUGAUGGCAUUCGAGGUGUAAACAUAGACAAUGUAUUGUUUGAAUCUUUAAACAGGGUUUAAUUAUUUACUGUUUGUAUUUAAAAAGUUUAUUUUGAAUACAUAAUUGUAACUUUCUGCUUAUUUCAUAAUAGUAUUUUAAAAAUAAAGAUUAAAAUAUCGAUUCAUAAUUUUAUAUAACCCUUAUAUAGAUAGAGAAAGGGGAUUUUGCCCAACA